UACGUAGGGUGCGAGCGUUAAUCGGAAUUACUGGGCGUAAAGCGUGCGCAGGCGGUUUGAUAAGCCAGACGGGAAAUCCCCGAGCUCAACUUGGGAACUGCGUUUGGGACUGUCAGACUAGAGUGCGUCAGAGGGGGGUGGAAUUCCGCGUGUAGCAGUGAAAUGCGUAGAGAUGCGGAGGAACACCGAUGGCGAAGGCAGCCCCCUGGGAUGACACUGACGCUCAUGCACGAAAGCGUGGGGAGCAAACAGG
This 253-nucleotide ribosomal RNA is filed under the name uncultured bacterium. Its description in RNAcentral is "partial 16S ribosomal RNA". It matches the Rfam family "Bacterial small subunit ribosomal RNA", at positions 524 to 776 of the family's 1533-position model. The record is from RNAcentral.